CAGCCGCCGCGGUAAUACGAGGGGGGCAAGCGUUGUUCGGAAUUAUUGGGCGUAAAGGGCGCGUAGGCGGUUUGGCAAGUUUGGUGUGAAAUCUUCGGGCUCAACUCGAAGUCUGCAUCGAAAACUGCCGGGCUUGAGUAUGGGAGAGGUGAGUGGAAUUUCCGGUGUAGCGGUGAAAUGCGUAGAUAUCGGAAGGAACACCUGUGGCGAAAGCGGCUCACUGGACCAUAACUGACGCUGAGGCGCGAAAGCUAGGGGAGCAAACAGGAUUAGAUACCCCAGUAGUCCCUGUCUCUUAUAC
Molecule: ribosomal RNA, 301 nt
Filed under: uncultured bacterium
Lineage: Bacteria
Description: partial 16S ribosomal RNA
Rfam family: Bacterial small subunit ribosomal RNA
Source: RNAcentral